GAAUAAAAAAACAAGGGGGAUUAAGAGGGGAGUGCCGCCAUCAAAUUGAGGGUGUGAGGGGAGUUUAAGAGGGGAGUUGACGUGGCACACGAGGAUUGGUUAUGCGUAAGAGAGGGGACUCCCCUCUUAGGGGAGUGCCCCUCUCACCCUUAGCUACAAGAGCUUUUUUAUACUUUUUUUUUCUUUUUUUAUUUUACCACUAAGCUUUAUCAAUUUCACUUUUAAAGAUAUCAUUUAUAUAGUGGAGAGUUCAAAUGAGAAAAAAAAAAUUUAUAAAAAGAAAAAAGAAGAAAUUUCAACCAAUAAGAAUUUUUUAUUUUACUUCAUUUAAUAUAAGUAUUUAAUGUUACUGUAAGGGUACAUUGGUAAAUCUACAUAGAUCAUUAAUUUGUAGUCUACAUUUUUAAUAGCUAACUACAUUAAUUUUUUUUGUAACUUAUCUUCAAAAUAUAUAUUUUUUCAAAGAAAUAAAAUAAAAUAAUUUAAAGUUUAAGAUAAAUUACGAGGUGUAUAUGAUAAAUUACGAGUUGUGUAAGAUAAAUUUCAACGUGUAGGUUAAAUUUCGAAAUAUGUAGGAUAACUUUUGAUGUGUGUAGGCAAAAAAAGUUAGUGUGGAGGAUGAUAGUCUUUAUGACUAAUUAAUUAGUCAAAGAUGAUAAUAAAUAGAAUAAGUGAAAAACUAUUUAAUGUUUUACAAAAUUACCAUUUGUUCUUUUUUUUUCUCAAUUAAAUUUUUUUCUCAAAUAAACGUUCCCCUUCUAUGUUAUACAAUAUAUUAAAUUACGUCACAUAUGCCAUACACUCACAUAUUUAAUUUUUGUUUUAAUGGCAUUUAGGUAAUUUAGUGACUUUUGAGCGGCAUUUGUAAGAGUUCCGGCAACACCAAUUAUUCUUUUUUCUUCAUAUUUUAACCACAAAUGUUUUUAUCCUUACACUUUACCCCCCCCCCCCCCCCCCCCCCCCCCCUAAAAUUUUAUUAGUUUUUUUACCAACUAAAAUUUUUAGCCCAUGAAUUUUAAAUUUUAAUAAAUUUAUCAAGCGUCCCAUGAAUUCUAAUAAAGUUAUUUUUAUUCUUUUUAUACAGCUUUACACUACAACCCCUGAAUUUUAAUAGAGUUACCGCUCUAAAUUUUAAACGAAUUACCGUUACGAUGUUAUGAUUUUUUUCAUGUUUUAUCUUUUGUAUAUAGUUUCAAUUAGUAUUAGUAGUGCACGUUAUUUUUGUUUAUCUACAUUUCGACAUUAAUUUUCAUAACGUUAUUGUUUUAAAUCGACCGGUUGUUUAAAACGUCAUACUACAUGUUAAAAAGCAACAUUUGGGUGGUUGUGUGUUUGGAGGAAGUGGUGCUAACGCUAAAGAGUCUUGACAACUUAAUUCCUUUGGGGUGUGAGCGGCCGAAUGAUGGUUAACAAUGGGAGGCAAUGACAGAGUUUGUAGAAUUUGAGAUCCUAUUAAUGUUAUUUAGACUAUAUAACUAAAUUAUUCUAAUCCACAUUAUCAGAUUUUUCCUAGCAACAUGUGAGUCAUCAUCAAUUUAUAAGUUAGGAUUAUGAAUGGCAUCACUCGGAUAUGUAUCUCGGAUAUGUAUGUAUUUAGUUUUGAGUUUUAUAAUAGUUAUGUUAUUGUAUUAGAAAUCUCUAACUAAAACAUAAAUCAUUUUUAAUAACCAAAUUGUUAAUUAGUUUAGUUACUUUUGCUUUCCAAAAAGUUGGUUUCCCACCGUAAUACAGAGGAAGAAACAACCUAGUACGCAACAAAAUUCAACAUUGCUUCGGAAGAAGUCAGUUUUUUAGUAGGGUAUGACAUGUAAAAGAAAUAACAAGCAUGAAAAUGUGUACGUAAAGCUAAAAUCAUAGUCUCUUGUUUUUUAGUAGCAUGUGAACAGUAAAAGAAAAAACAAGCAUAAUGUUAUCUUAUCUUAUCUUUUCUUUUUCUUUUUCUUUUUCUUUUCUUUUGUACGUUUUGAAUGCAUUGAAGACUCUUUUUAUCUUUCUAUGUGACAAGUGAACCUAGAAAAGGGCGUAAAUAAAACAAGAGAACAAUUAAUAAUCGUUUCUUUUGGUUAAUUGUGGUGCAAAGUUUAUCGUGGUCUAUUGUUUCUCUGAGUAAAACUAGAUAGAGAAAAUAAAAGG
This 2133-nucleotide long non-coding RNA is filed under the name Helianthus annuus (common sunflower). Its description in RNAcentral is "hypothetical non coding rna". Lineage: Eukaryota; Viridiplantae; Streptophyta; Magnoliopsida; Asterales; Asteraceae. The record is from RNAcentral.